RNAcentral lists this ribosomal RNA (409 nucleotides) under uncultured bacterium. Its description in RNAcentral is "bacterial SSU rRNA". It matches the Rfam family "Bacterial small subunit ribosomal RNA", at positions 357 to 782 of the family's 1533-position model. The record is from RNAcentral.
GGGAAUAUUGGGCAAUGGGCGAAAGCCUGACCCAGCAACGCCGCGUGCACGAUGAAGGUCUUCGGAUCGUAAAGUGCUUUUCUGAGAGAUGAGAAAGGACAGUAUCUCAGGAAUAAGUCUCGGCUAACUACGUGCCAGCAGCCGCGGUAACACGUAGGAGGCAAGCGUUAUCCGGAUUUACUGGGCGUAAAGCGCGUGCAGGUGGUUCGGUAAGUUGGAUGUGAAAGCUCCUGGCUCAACUGGGAGAGGUCGUUCAAUACUACCGGACUUGAGAGCAGUAGAGGGAGGUGGAAUUCCCGGUGUAGUGGUGAAAUGCGUAGAUAUCGGGAGGAACACCAGUGGCGAAAGCGGCCUCCUGGACUGUUUCUGACACUCAGACGCGAAAGCUAGGGUAGCAAACGGGAUUAGA